AUUGAGCGCUGGCGGCAGGCUUAACACAUGCAAGUCGAGCGGGGUGAUGGUGCUUGCACUAUCACUUAGCGGCGGACGGGUGAGUAAUGCUUAGGAAUCUGCCUAUUAGUGGGGGACAACAUCUCGAAAGGGCUGCUAAUACCGCAUACGUCCUACGGGAGAAAGCAGGGGAUCACUUGUGACCUUGCGCUAAUAGAUGAGCCUAAGUCGGGUUAGCUAGUUGGUGGGGUAAAGGCCUACCAAAGCGACGAUGUGUAGCGGGUCUGAGAGGGUGAUCCGCCACACUGGGACUGAGACACGGCCCAGACUCCUACGGGAGGCAGCAGUGGGGAAUAUUGGACAAUGGGGGGAACCCUGAUCCAGCCAUGCCGCGUGUGUGAAGAAGGCCUUAUGGUUGUAAAGCACUUUAAGCGAGGAGGAGGCUCUUUUGGUUAAUACCCAGAAUGAGUGGACGCUACUCGCAGAAUAAGCACCGGCUAACUCUGUGCCAGCAGCCGCCGUAA
This 503-nucleotide ribosomal RNA is filed under the name uncultured bacterium. RNAcentral's name for it is "partial 16S ribosomal RNA". It matches the Rfam family "Bacterial small subunit ribosomal RNA", at positions 30 to 523 of the family's 1533-position model. The record is from RNAcentral.